Molecule: non-coding RNA, 27 nt
Filed under: Homo sapiens (human)
Lineage: Eukaryota; Metazoa; Chordata; Mammalia; Primates; Hominidae
Source: RNAcentral
UUGAAGUGUUAAGAAUAGAUGGGAUUG